Molecule: microRNA precursor, 64 nt
Filed under: Danio rerio (zebrafish)
Lineage: Eukaryota; Metazoa; Chordata; Actinopteri; Cypriniformes; Danionidae
Description: Dre-Mir-425_pre stem-loop
Source: RNAcentral
AAUGACACGUUUUCUCCCGGAUCGCCAGAAAUAUGUUUCGCCACCGGGAACUUCGUGUCAGCCA